GCAGUCGACGAACUCUGGUAUUGAUUGGUGCUUGCAUCAUGAUUUACAUUUGAGUGAGUGGCGAACUGGUGAGUAACACGUGGGAAACCUGCCCAGAAGCGGGGGAUAACACCUGGAAACAGAUGCUAAUACCGCAUAACAACUUGGACCGCAUGGUCCGAGUUUGAAAGAUGGCUUCGGCUAUCACUUUUGGAUGGUCCCGCGGCGUAUUAGCUAGAUGGUGGGGUAACGGCUCACCAUGGCAAUGAUACGUAGCCGACCUGAGAGGGUAAUCGGCCACAUUGGGACUGAGACACGGCCCAAACUCCUACGGGAGGCAGCAGUAGGGAAUCUUCCACAAUGGACGAAAGUCUGAUGGAGCAACGCCGCGUGAGUGAAGAAGGGUUUCGGCUCGUAAAACUCUGUUGUUAAAGAAGAACAUAUCUGAGAGUAACUGUUCAGGUAUUGACGGUAUUUAACCAGAAAGCCACGGCUAACUACGUGCCAGCAGCCGCGGUAAUACGUAGGUGGCAAGCGUUGUCCGGAUUUAUUGGGCGUAAAGCGAGCGCAGGCGGUUUUUUAAGUCUGAUGUGAAAGCCUUCGGCUCAACCGAAGAAGUGCAUCGGAAACUGGGAAACUUGAGUGCAGAAGAGGACAGUGGAACUCCAUGUGUAGCGGUGAAAUGCGUAGAUAUAUGGAAGAACACCAGUGGCGAAGGCGGCUGUCUGGUCUGUAACUGACGCUGAGGCUCGAAAGUAUGGGUAGCAAACAGGAUUAGAUACCCUGGUAGUCCAUACCGUAAACGAUGAAUGCUAAGUGUUGGAGGGUUUCCGCCCUUCAGUGCUGCAGCUAACGCAUUAAGCAUUCCGCCUGGGGAGUACGGCCGCAAGGCUGAAACUCAAAGGAAUUGACGGGGGCCCGCACAAGCGGUGGAGCAUGUGGUUUAAUUCGAAGCUACGCGAAGAACCUUACCAGGUCUUGACAUACUAUGCAAAUCUAAGAGAUUAGACGUUCCCUUCGGGGACAUGGAUACAGGUGGUGCAUGGUUGUCGUCAGCUCGUGUCGUGAGAUGUUGGGUUAAGUCCCGCAACGAGCGCAACCCUUAUUAUCAGUUGCCAGCAUUAAGUUGGGCACUCUGGUGAGACUGCCGGUGACAAACCGGAGGAAGGUGGGGAUGACGUCAAAUCAUCAUGCCCCUUAUGACCUGGGCUACACACGUGCUACAAUGGAUGGUACAACGAGUUGCGAACUCGCGAGAGUAAGCUAAUCUCUUAAAGCCAUUCUCAGUUCGGAUUGUAGGCUGCAACUCGCCUACAUGAAGUCGGAAUCGCUAGUAAUCGCGGAUCAGCAUGCCGCGGUGAAUACGUUCCCGGGCCUUGUACACACCGCCCGUCACACCAUGAGAGUUUGUAACACCCAAAGUCGGUGGG
RNAcentral lists this ribosomal RNA (1409 nucleotides) under Lactiplantibacillus plantarum. Its description in RNAcentral is "bacterial SSU rRNA". It matches the Rfam family "Bacterial small subunit ribosomal RNA", at positions 57 to 1434 of the family's 1533-position model. The record is from RNAcentral. Lineage: Bacteria; Bacillati; Bacillota; Bacilli; Lactobacillales; Lactobacillaceae.